This 468-nucleotide ribosomal RNA is filed under the name uncultured bacterium. RNAcentral describes it as "partial 16S ribosomal RNA". It matches the Rfam family "Bacterial small subunit ribosomal RNA", at positions 28 to 507 of the family's 1533-position model. The record is from RNAcentral.
GACGAACGCUGGCGGCGUGCUUAACACAUGCAAGUCGAACGGAAAGGCCCUGCUUUUGUGGGGUGCUCGAGUGGCGAACGGGUAAGUAACACGUGAGUAACCUGCCCUUGACUUUGGGAUAACUUCAGGAAACUGGGGCUAAUACCGGAUAGGAGCUCCUGCUGCAUGGUGGGGGUUGGAAAGUUUCGGCGGUUGGGGAUGGACUCGCGGCUUAUCAGCUUGUUGGUGGGGUAGUGGCUUACCAAGGCUUUGACGGGUAGCCGGCCUGAGAGGGUGACCGGCCAAAUUGGGACUGAGAUACGGCCCAGACUACUACGGGAGGCAGCAGUGGGGAAUAUUGCACAAUGGGCGGAAGCCUGAUGCAGCAACGCCGCGUGCGGGAUGACGGCCUUCGGGUUGUAAAACGCUUUCGCCUGUGACGAAGCGUGAGUGACGGUAAUGGGUAAAGAAGCACCGGCUAACUACGUG